Molecule: long non-coding RNA, 578 nt
Filed under: Mytilus galloprovincialis (Mediterranean mussel)
Lineage: Eukaryota; Metazoa; Mollusca; Bivalvia; Mytilida; Mytilidae
Source: RNAcentral
UCCGCGAAUAGCAUUUAUUAUUCAUAACAAAUAGAUGCAUUCUUUUUCUGUGCUAAAAUGAUUCUUUGCAACAAUUAAUUAGGGGCUGAUAAACGUGCAAAAUAAUACUGAAUUUGAUCAAGAUGGCACUUAUCAUUUACUUAGAAUUGAAAUAUUGCGAUAACUUAUCAGAUUAUUGAAAAAUAGAUUUUCCGACAUAUGCAGCUGUAUAUACUGGUAUCGUUACAUACAUGGUUUGAAAAUUAAAAAAAAUAUAUUGAAACGAAAAAAUUGAAAAUGAACAAUGUUAUGCCAUAAGGCAACCAAAACAAGAAAAAAAACCGGAACAACAGGCCUAUGUACAUGUUUACACUAGUCAAUUUGGGGCCUACUAUAGCUUCCUGUUCAGUGAGAGAAAGCACUUCGUGUUGAAGGCUGUACUUGCGUAUUCUAUUAAAACCCUAAUACCUUUGAUAACUAUGUACUCAUCUGGGUCGAUGCUACUGAUGGUGGACGUUUUGUCCCCGAGGGUAUCACCAGCCCAGUAGUCAGCACUGCGGUGAAGAAAUGUAAAAUUGCAGAAUUAUGAAUUAUUCGAA